CGUAGGGUGCGAGCGUUAAUCGGAAUUACUGGGCGUAAAGCGUGCGCAGGCGGUUAUAUAAGACAGAUGUGAAAUCCCCGGGCUCAACCUGGGAACUGCAUUUGUGACUGUAUAGCUAGAGUACGGCAGAGGGGGAUGGAAUUCCGCGUGUAGCAGUGAAAUGCGUAGAUAUGCGGAGGAACACCGAUGGCGAAGGCAAUCCCCUGGGCCUGUACUGACGCUCAUGCACGAAAGCGUGGGAGCAAACAGGAUUAGAUACCCUGGUAGUCCACGCCCUAAACGAUGUCAACUGGUUGUUGGGUCUUCACUGACUCAGUAACGAAGCUAACGCGUGAAGUUGACCGCCUGGGGAGUACGGCCGCAAGGUUG
RNAcentral lists this ribosomal RNA (369 nucleotides) under uncultured organism. RNAcentral's name for it is "bacterial SSU rRNA". It matches the Rfam family "Bacterial small subunit ribosomal RNA", at positions 526 to 896 of the family's 1533-position model. The record is from RNAcentral.